Molecule: regulatory RNA element, 98 nt
Organism: Lactobacillus delbrueckii subsp. bulgaricus
Lineage: Bacteria; Bacillati; Bacillota; Bacilli; Lactobacillales; Lactobacillaceae
Rfam family: Purine riboswitch aptamer
About the family: Riboswitches are metabolite binding domains within certain messenger RNAs that serve as precision sensors for their corresponding targets. Allosteric rearrangement of mRNA structure is mediated by ligand binding, and this results in modulation of gene expression. A class of riboswitches that selectively recognises guanine and becomes saturated at concentrations as low as 5 nM.
Source: Rfam
AACUUAACAAAUGUUUCUGCUUAUAUAUCGCUGCGAUACGGGUAGCAGUCUCUACCCGGAGCCGUAAACUCCGGACUAUAGGUAAAGAAGGGCCGGUA